Molecule: transfer RNA, 73 nt
Filed under: Stegodyphus mimosarum
Lineage: Eukaryota; Metazoa; Arthropoda; Arachnida; Araneae; Eresidae
Rfam family: tRNA
About the family: Transfer RNA (tRNA) molecules are approximately 80 nucleotides in length. Their secondary structure includes four short double-helical elements and three loops (D, anti-codon, and T loops).
Source: Rfam by way of RNAcentral
GCCGUCGGGGUGUAGUGGUCAACACACUCGACGUGUAACAGAGAGGUCCGUGGUUCGAUUCCCGGCGAAGGCG